This 253-nucleotide ribosomal RNA is filed under the name uncultured bacterium. Its description in RNAcentral is "partial 16S ribosomal RNA". It matches the Rfam family "Bacterial small subunit ribosomal RNA", at positions 524 to 776 of the family's 1533-position model. The record is from RNAcentral.
UACGUAGGGUGCAAGCGUUGUCCGGAGUUAUUGGGCGUAAAGAGCUCGUAGGCGGUCUGUCACGUCGGCUGUGAAAUCCCGAGGCUCAACCUCGGGUCUGCAGUCGAUACGGGCAAACUAGAGUAUUGCAGGGGAGACUGGAAUUCCUGGUGUAGCGGUGAAAUGCGCAGAUAUCAGGAAGAACACCCGUGGCUAAGGCGGCUCUCUAGUACGGUACUGACGCUGAGACGCGAAAGCGUGGGGAGCGAACAGG